RNAcentral lists this ribosomal RNA (645 nucleotides) under uncultured Porphyromonadaceae bacterium. Its description in RNAcentral is "bacterial SSU rRNA". It matches the Rfam family "Bacterial small subunit ribosomal RNA", at positions 74 to 715 of the family's 1533-position model. The record is from RNAcentral. Lineage: Bacteria; Pseudomonadati; Bacteroidota; Bacteroidia; Bacteroidales; Porphyromonadaceae.
AAGUAGCAAUACUUUGGUGGCGACCGGCGCACGGGUGAGUAACGCGUAUGCAACCCACUUAUCAGAGGGGAAUAACCCGGCGAAAGUCGGACUAAUACCGCAUAAAACAGGGACACCGCAUGGUGAUAUUUGUUAAAGAAAUUCGCUGAUAGAUGGGCAUGCGUUCCAUUAGGUAGUUGGUGAGGUAACGGCUCACCAAGCCGACGAUGGAUAGGGGAACUGAGAGGUUGGUCCCCCACACUGGUACUGAGACACGGACCAGACUCCUACGGGAGGCAGCAGUGAGGAAUAUUGGUCAAUGGGCGAGAGCCUGAACCAGCCAAGUCGCGUGAAGGAAGAAGGAUCUAUGGUUCGUAAACUUCUUUUGCAGGGGAAUAAAGUGCAGGACGUGUCCUGUUUUGUAUGUACCCUGAGAAUAAGGAUCGGCUAACUCCGUGCCAGCAGCCGCGGUAAUACGGAGGAUCCGAGCGUUAUCCGGAUUUAUUGGGUUUAAAGGGUGCGUAGGUGGUUUGAUAAGUCAGCGGUGAAAGUUUGCAGCUUAACUGUAAAAAUGCCGUUGAAACUGUCGGACUUGAGUGUAAAUGAGGUAGGCGGAAUGCGUGGUGUAGCGGUGAAAUGCUUAGAUAUCACGAAGAACUCCGAUUG